Molecule: non-coding RNA, 323 nt
Organism: Pelobates cultripes (western spadefoot toad)
Lineage: Eukaryota; Metazoa; Chordata; Amphibia; Anura; Pelobatidae
Source: the annotation of a GenBank genome assembly
AACAAUUCCUAACAUGAUACAUUUAUCAUUAUCAAUUAUCAAAACUAAAAGUCAAAUAAAAAAACGUAAAGUUAAACCAUUAACUGAUAGAUCAUGCACUUCUCUCAGAUUUGCUUAUUUUUCAUGCAAUUUAUGUAUUACAAAAAAAAAGUUGACAUCAUUUCCCUUUGGAACACUUUUGUAUUGAUGAGAGAAGCAUUCACUCUACAUAAACGCUUGAUUGGACAUUCUGAGUACUAUAACACUUUCACAAGCAAGUGACUAACAGACUAAUUCUGUACUUGAUCUUAAUAUAUACUUAUGGGGAUAAUUCCCAAUAAAAC